Long non-coding RNA from Cyprinus carpio carpio, 1549 nucleotides. The record is from Ensembl. Lineage: Eukaryota; Metazoa; Chordata; Actinopteri; Cypriniformes; Cyprinidae.
GCCACGAAAGCUGCUGGCCAGGCCAGACACAGACUGCUCACGCUCCGCCAGGAACUGGGCAUCCUUUGUGCAGAGCGAGAUUUCCAUUUCCACUGAUACGCAAAGCGAAAGCCGGGCAAACCACAGGAUCAGGUCCGGAGUAGCUUCCAGUGGGAGAUGUGUGCGCUUGACGCUCAGUGCCAUGGACAGUCACCAAGGACGACUGGGAGGACAUGAGCGCAGACAGAACGCCGGGAGUGAGAUGAGCAAACACUGGGCUGCUAACAAGAGCCUGAGGGCUCAGUUAGAUGAAAGAGAUCAGACGCUGAAGGAGCUGCACCAGAGGGUUGGUGUUUCAGAGAGGGAUGUGACGAUGAAGAGGCAGCUGGUGGAGGAUCUCAGAUGCAGACUAUAGAUCUGCCAGAACACUGAGACGAGCCACAGAUCAGCGGCUGAAGACUUGGAGAAGAAAGAAGGUCCUGCUCCGACAACAGCCGCUCUACUAGCAACCUGGAAUUAAUUAUUCUCUCUGCCGUUAUUGAUUGUGUCACUCAUCCACAGUCUGAACGUCCUAGGCUUCUACGUUUCUCUGUCUGUUUAAAAAUAUCGAAGUAAUUGAAUUGCUUUUCUUUUUUUAGAUGGAAUCUCUCACUGAUGAGGCAGCUUACCGAAGAGAAGAUUGACAGAUGCCACUGCAGAACAAAACCAGCAUGAGGCAACCAGCCAAAAACUCAAAGAAGAGCUUCAGAGAAAGGUUCAAGAGCAUCUGUACAUCACUCAGGAAUCGUAAUGCUUUUUUUGGGCUUGUCCUGCGUUGUAUUGCAGGAUGGCUUUUUCUUUCUCUUUCUUUAUUCACCUAAUUACCAUCAGUCUCGUUUGAUGUUUGGCGCCAAAUGCCAUACUUUGCCCCAGUUUCAUCGUUCAGUUCAUUCUAUCCGUUAUAUACUAUCUCCUAAUUGGUGAAACGCUUGUUAAGUGUGUUUAUUCCUCAGGAGCAGAGAAUGGCCGUCCUAGUCAUCACUGGGAAUGUAACGAUUCACUCAACUCGAUUUAUUUUUCUUUUUUUACAAAAUUAGAUUUAAGACAAAUUAUAAAUUAAAUGUGUCCUUUUAUUAUUGCUUGGACAAAAUGCUGCAUGUUUCUUUGUGAAAUUGAAAUGUAACACUAUAAUAAUAUACUAAAAUAGCACUUAUCACUGUUCUUUUGUUGGUUUUGAUUGCUUCUAUUGUCCUCAUUUGUAAGUCGCUUUGGGUUGAAGCAUCUGCUAAAUGACUAAAUCUAAAUAUAAUGUAAAUGUAAAUAACAAAACUAAAUUGAAAUUUAAAAAUAAGUAACACAAAUAAAAGAAAUCUUGGUCUGUGCUCUUUCCAUUUAAAAUGAGAGGCAACCACUGCAUUUUAAUCAUGAGCAGUUUUUAAUCUAAAUUAGAUUGUAUAACUUUAAAUUUAAAGCAAAAACAGAAUGGUUUGACUUCAGUUUUGUGAAACUAUACAUAAAAAAUAUUUGCAUGAAGCAGAAACUGAAACAGCAGAUGAGCUGAACGAGACGCAGAUUCACUCUCUGCCAGCAG